This 301-nucleotide long non-coding RNA is filed under the name Elaeis guineensis (African oil palm). Its description in RNAcentral is "long non-coding RNA (EGUI_LNC003539)". Lineage: Eukaryota; Viridiplantae; Streptophyta; Magnoliopsida; Arecales; Arecaceae. The record is from RNAcentral.
GGGUGGUGAGUUCUUGUAAGAAAAAGUUCCUAGCAUGGCUCUGGUGGAGGAUUUGAAGGCAAACAGGUGGUAGUGCUACCGGUUCCUUGAGAAGGACACCAGCAGUAAUUCUUAUGAAGAAAGACUGCAUCCCUACUAGUUGGAAAGGACCCUGAUCUGUCUCGUGUAGAUCACCAUAGAGGGCUUCUACUUUGGAGUCUUAUAGAGAUCAUUCUAUUACCUGAUCCUCAUCUUCAGAAAGGUAUAAUUCUUAUCUUUUUGCAUGCUUCAAGUCUUUGAUUAUAGUCAUCAAGGAGUUCUU